Long non-coding RNA from Hordeum vulgare subsp. vulgare (domesticated barley), 428 nucleotides. RefSeq lists it as uncharacterized. NCBI's taxonomy places the organism in Eukaryota, Viridiplantae, Streptophyta, Magnoliopsida, Poales, Poaceae. The transcript is spliced from 2 exons. The record is from RefSeq and is a predicted model, not a curated record.
UGUUCAAGAAAUCAUUUUUAGGCAGCGCUUAAGCGCUGAGCUACAGCUAAACGCUUCGCUUCUGCCCUAGGUGGAACUUUUAGCGUUGAGCUUCAGUGGUGGCGGCUCCAGCUCUGCAUCCAGCGAUGACUGCUCCUCCUCCUCCUAGAGGUCCACCCCUACUGCAUCUGAACGCAGACAGCUCCUCCUCCUCCUCUUGGAUGUCCACCCCUACAGAUUCAAGUAUCUAUUUGCCAUGGAGUUGGAUAUUUUGGCCAUUACUGAAUUAACGAUUCAAGCAGAGGGAGUUCAUGUUAGAUGGUUCUUGUGACAUUUAUGCUGUACUUUGCGAUUUUUGGUGGUUAAGUCACCUACUUGUCAACAAUCUUGGAACAGUUUCGAAACAUUAGUUAAGUUAAUUUUUGAGUGCAUCUAGCUUCAUAUUUGAA